RNAcentral lists this ribosomal RNA (480 nucleotides) under uncultured Rhodocyclales bacterium. RNAcentral describes it as "bacterial SSU rRNA". It matches the Rfam family "Bacterial small subunit ribosomal RNA", at positions 97 to 573 of the family's 1533-position model. The record is from RNAcentral. Lineage: Bacteria; Pseudomonadati; Pseudomonadota; Betaproteobacteria; Rhodocyclales.
GGCGAACGGGUGAGUAAUACAUCGGAACGUACCCAGAAGUGGGGGAUAACUAGUCGAAAGAUUAGCUAACACCGCAUAUUCUCUGAGGAGGAAAGUGGGGGACCUUCGGGCCUCACGCUUUUGGAGCGGCCGAUGUCGGAUUAGCCAGUUGGUGGGGUAAAGGCCUACCAAGGCGACGAUCCGUAGCUGGUCUGAGAGGAUGAUCAGCCACACUGGGACUGAGACACGGCCCAGACUCCUACGGGAGGCAGCAGUGGGGAAUUUUGGACAAUGGGGGCAACCCUGAUCCAGCCAUGCCGCGUGAGUGAAGAAGGCCUUCGGGUUGUAAAGCUCUUUCGGCGGGGACGAAACGGUUGCGGUGAAUAAUCGCGACUACUGACGGUACCCGCAGAAGAAGCACCGGCUAACUACGUGCCAGCAGCCGCGGUAAUACGUAGGGUGCGAGCGUUAAUCGGAAUUACUGGGCGUAAAGCGUGCGCA